RNAcentral lists this ribosomal RNA (253 nucleotides) under uncultured bacterium. RNAcentral's name for it is "partial 16S ribosomal RNA". It matches the Rfam family "Bacterial small subunit ribosomal RNA", at positions 524 to 776 of the family's 1533-position model. The record is from RNAcentral.
UACAGAGGUCUCAAGCGUUGUUCGGAUUCAUUGGGCGUAAAGGGUGCGUAGGCGGCGGUGUAAGUCGGAUGUGAAAUCCCGAGGCUCAACCUCGGAACUGCAUUCGAUACUGCAUCGCUAGAGUACUGGAGAGGAGAUUGGAAUUUACGGUGUAGCAGUGAAAUGCGUAGAUAUCGUAAGGAAGACCAGUGGCGAAGGCGAAUCUCUGGACAGUUACUGACGCUGAGGCACGAAGGCUAGGGGAGCAAACGGG